This 1627-nucleotide ribosomal RNA is filed under the name Acidithiobacillus thiooxidans. RNAcentral's name for it is "bacterial LSU rRNA". It matches the Rfam family "Bacterial large subunit ribosomal RNA", at positions 78 to 1807 of the family's 2925-position model. The record is from RNAcentral. Lineage: Bacteria; Pseudomonadati; Pseudomonadota; Acidithiobacillia; Acidithiobacillales; Acidithiobacillaceae.
UCGGGGAGCUGGUAAACAAGCUUUGAUCCGGGGGUAUCCGAAUGGGGAAACCCGGCCCGCAAGGGUCAUCUUUAUGCUGAAUACAUAGGCGUAGAGAAGCGAACGCGGUGAACUGAAACAUCUCAGUAGCUGCAGGAACAGAAAUCAACCGAGAUUCCCGUAGUAGCGGCGAGCGAACCGGGAGGAGCCAUCAUGAGAUAGCCAAGAGCUUAGGAGAACGACCUGUAAAGGUUGGCCGCAGNGGGUAGUAGCCCCGUAUCCGAAAAGCAUUGGGUGGUGGUACUAGGCAUGAGAGAANUAGGGCGGGACACGUGGAAUCCUGUCUGAAGAUGGGGGGACCAUACUCCAAGGCUAAAUACUCGUUUCCGACCGAUAGUGAACCAGUACCGUGAGGGAAAGGCGAAAAGAACCCCGGAGAGGGGAGUGAAAUAGAUCCUGAAACCGUAUGCCUACAAGCAGUGGGAGCCCGUUUUACGGGUGACUGCGUACCUUUUGUAUCAUGGGUCAGCGACUUACUUUCUGUGGCGAGCUUAACCGAAGAGGGGAGGCGUAGGGAAACCGAGUCUGAAUAGGGCGAUAGUCGCAGGGUGUAGACCCGAAACCGGACGAUCUAUCCAUGGAUAGGAGUGAAAGGCUAAACAAGUCCGGAGAUAGCUGGUUCUCCUCGAAAGCUAUUGAGGUAGCGCGUCGCAUAUAACUGUCGGGGGUAGAGCACUGUUACGGCUAGGGGGCUGUCACGGCUUACCAAACCGUUGCAAACUAAGAAUACCBBCAAGUUGAGUGCGGCAGACAGACGGCGGGUGCUAACGUCCGUCGUCAAGAGGGAUGAAAACCCAGACCGCCAGCUAAGGUCCCCAAAUAUGGCUCAGUGGGAAACGAUGUGGGAAGGCAUAGACAGCUAGGAGGUUGGCUUAGAAGCAGCCACCCUUUAAAGAAAGCGUAAUAGCUCACUAGUCGAGUCGGCCUGCGCGGAAGAUUUACCGGGGCUCAAGCCAUAUACCGAAGCUGCGGGUGUGUUCUUUGGAACACGCGGUAGAGGAGCGUUCGGUAAGCCUGUGAAGGUGCGUUGGAAAGCGUGCUGGAGGUAUCCGAAGUGCGAAUGCUGACAUGAGUAGCGAUAAAGGGUGUGAAAACCACCCUCGCCGUAAGCCCAAGGGUUCCUGCGUCAAGUCAAUCUGCGCAGGGUGAGUCGGCCCCUAAGGUGAGGCCGAGAGGCGUAGCUGAUGGGAAAUCGGUUAAUAUUCCGAUACUGUGGUUCGAUGCGAUGGGAGGACGGAGAAAGGUAGCGGUAUCCGGGUGUUGGACGUCCCNGUGUAAGCGUGUAGGGAGUCUCCNUAGGCAAAUCCGGGGAGGCAAUCCUNAGGNGUGAUGCCGAUNUUNUACGGAAGAGAAGUACGUGAACCUACGCUUCCAGGAAAAGUCUNUAAGCUUCANUCGAAUCAUGACCGUACCCCNAACCGACACAGGUGGGCAGGAAGAAUAUUCCCAGGCGCUUGAGAGACCUCGGGUGAAGGAACUCGGCAAAUUGACACCGUAACUUCGGAAGAAGGUGUGCCCUGGUAGGUUGUAGUCCCUUNCGGACGAAGGCCGAGAGGGUCGCAGAGAAUCGGUGGCUGCAACUGUUUAA